This is a non-coding RNA of Myotis davidii, 80 nucleotides long. Lineage: Eukaryota; Metazoa; Chordata; Mammalia; Chiroptera; Vespertilionidae. The record is from Rfam.
AGGCCUGAAGAGAGAAACAGGGUCUGAUCCAUAGCCUCUGUGGCAGCUGUUGAUCAGCACUUGCUCUCUCUUUCUCUCCA